RNAcentral lists this unclassified non-coding RNA (264 nucleotides) under Hyphoderma obtusiforme. RNAcentral's name for it is "partial internal transcribed spacer region". The stretch from base 1 to 46 matches the Rfam family "Eukaryotic small subunit ribosomal RNA", at positions 1786 to 1831 of the family's 1831-position model. RNAcentral also lists the same sequence under 1 other name. Lineage: Eukaryota; Fungi; Basidiomycota; Agaricomycetes; Polyporales; Hyphodermataceae. The record is from RNAcentral.
AAGUCGUAACAAGGUUUCCGUAGGUGAACCUGCGGAAGGAUCAUUAAUGAAUUUAUUGACAGGGUUGUUGCUGGCCUUUACCGGCAUGUGCACGCCUUGCUUCAAUUCAUCCAAUCUAUACCUCUGUGCACUCUUCAUAGGUUGGCUUUUGGGAUUACCCUAGGCCUUUCUAUGCAUUUUAUUACAAACAUGUCCAGUUCAGAAUGUCUUUAUCGCGUGUAACGCAUAUAAAUAUAACUUUCAGCAACGGAUCUCUUGGCUCUC